CUCUUGCUAAAAGGCAUUUAAUGAGCUGUAAAAAGACCUAUCUACCCUUAUUAAAGGUGCGCAGGAGGGGGAGACAAGCAAUAAAUGAGGGGUAUAGGUUGUCCAGCCCACCUUGUAGCAAGUUUUAGCAACAAAAACUUGCUAAAGUGCUAAACUUUAGCAACUCAACUUUAGCAAGUUUUAGCAAGAAUGUUUGGCAGUUUAGUAACUAAAAGUUACUAAAUUUUAGCAACUAAAGUUUAACCAGGUGUAACCAACACCCUGAAAAAAAGAGCCAACCGUCCGGUCUCCACUCCCCAGUGGAAACCCCAACAGCCGAUGCGGCGAUGCCCGAUGCCGAUAACUUCGCGGCUAUGCGCCACGCCUUUCGCGCAAGCGGUGGUAGCUUUCAGCUCGGCUGGCCCUCGACGCGUAUGUGGUGUGCACGCCACGAGCCGUGCAGCAUCGCAGAUCACCCGGAGAGUGCUUGCCAGAGGGAGCUCGCAAAAGACUUUGGUCCUGCGCGAAUACGGCCGCGGAGACGUUGACUUCGGCGUAUGAAAACUGUUGGUGGGGCGCCUUCAACUCCAACCUCACCCGCCGAGCUUUUCUUUUUGCGCCAAACAGAAAGCGGUUGCGCUUACGCUGGCAUGGCAUCGUCUGUACGCGGUUUCAAGCGUCAGUAGCCCAACUGUACACACCACCGGUGCAUAUUCCUACUCCAAGGAAAUUCGCUGGAGCGCUCCCGUACGUGCCCUUUUGUUUGCGUGGUAAGCGAAGGCUCCGCGAGCUCCAUGGAUCAGCUUGGGAUGCGAUGUAUUCAGAGUUGGCUUAAGUUUCCUCUGUUUCUGUUCAUGAUUGAAUGUUCUAUUCUUGCAGGUUGGCGGCAGCAUGCAUCGGCAUUCAAGUGCCCAUGAGAUGAGCCCCAGCCGGUCCAAUUAAUCAGUAGAGCAUUGAUUGGCAGAUGAGAUCCUAGCAGCGCUGGC
RNAcentral lists this long non-coding RNA (965 nucleotides) under Setaria italica (foxtail millet). RNAcentral describes it as "long non-coding RNA (SITA_LNC005286)". The record is from RNAcentral. Lineage: Eukaryota; Viridiplantae; Streptophyta; Magnoliopsida; Poales; Poaceae.